GCAUUUGUUUAUCGUGACGAUUCGCGAAGAUUCGAGUUUUCGUACCUAUAUAAGGAUUUGUUUAACGAUCGCAGCAGCCAGUAUUGCCACGACGUUGACGAGGUGCGUUUUUGUGACCAUAUAAGGUAGUGUAAACGUUUUGGAACCGCUGUGAUUCAUCACGACGCAGACAAGUCGAAUUUUCGUACACCCAUACAAGAUUUUAUUCCUGAUCAACGAAAAGAAACCUGUUUGAAGAUUCACAAAAGAUCGUAGUUUUCGUUCGGACGCAGCGAGCUUACGAAAUUAGGAAUUUCGCCAAGGAGGUCGGUCGUACAAGUUUUUCCACUUUUGUUCGAGGCACACUAACUAAAGUUUUGCGCGCGCUGCAUACUACUACAACUACUACAUUACGACCUCUUCCUCCUCCUCACAACAUCCUUCCACCACCUCCCACACAUCCCGGAGCACAACUUAAUUAAGUACGAAACUUUAGUACGGGUAAACAUUAAAAAGGACAUUCCAUUAAAAAACGAGACCGAAAUUAAUUAAGCAAUUCUCCUCGUCCUCUAUAUACAUACAUACACCUUCUCUAUAUAGACACACACAGACUAAUAUAGUCCAAUAUUUAUUUCUGCUGUUCCUUUUAUCUCGCGCAAACGUUUAUUCCCAAUAAAAAAGGUGCCGGGGACGGGACGAAGGCUAAUUAAUUUUCUGUAACAAUUAAUAUUUAAUUAUCUUCGCCAAAUUUCUUCUUUCUUCUCUUCCUUUUUUUUUUGUUUUCACUUCUUUCCAUAGCCUCAGGCCGAAACCCAGACUCCGAGCGGCGGCGGCAGUCAAUCAAUAAACUCAAUUAAAACUUAGCGGAGCCGAAAUCGAUGAUUUUAAUUAAAACUUAAAAUACAUCAAUUUUUUUUUUUCAAAUAUUUUUAAUUUUUCGAUGCCCCCGAAAUAACGAGCGCCGAAGAUCGUUUCUUCA
Molecule: long non-coding RNA, 958 nt
Organism: Nicrophorus vespilloides
Lineage: Eukaryota; Metazoa; Arthropoda; Insecta; Coleoptera; Silphidae
Exons: 3
Source: RefSeq, a predicted model, not a curated record